RNAcentral lists this long non-coding RNA (1086 nucleotides) under Zonotrichia albicollis (white-throated sparrow). RNAcentral describes it as "lncRNA (ENSZALG00000011374.1)". The record is from RNAcentral. Lineage: Eukaryota; Metazoa; Chordata; Aves; Passeriformes; Passerellidae.
AUGGCGACGCAUUGUCGGGAGCAUUUUACUUCCCACCUAGUUCACUGUGCUUCUUCCAGACGCAAGCGAAAGGGAAAGCGAGGGACCCAUCACCCAGCCGCCCCUUCCAUAUCUCACAAGCACCUCGCGGGGCACAGCCCUCCCGGCCGGCCCUGGGCAGCGAUACCUCUCCGCAGGAGCGCCCGCACGCAGGGGAGGAUCCCCGCUCUCCCGGGCCCAGCCCCUCCAACCCCCGCCGCCACCUCCCCUCCCCCGCGGCUCCCUUCCAGGCACAGGAAUAAGGGGAAGUGGGAAAACCGGGGGCGCCAUUUUGAGCCGGGAAAGGAGAGAGCAGCGUCCCCUCCCCGCACGCCGGGCUGCCCACCUCGGCCGCCCGUGCCGCGGCACGACGCUCCCGCGGCGCCGGGGGAGCGGCCGCCGCCAGGAGCGCGGACAAGGCGCGUCCCGCCGCCGCCGGGACCCCCCCGCGCCGCCACCAUCUCCUCACCUGGCCGGGGUGGGGGAGCCGGGGCGGCGGCGCAGCGCUGUCCGUCCGUCCGUCGGUCGGGGCUGGCGGGCGCGCCGGGGCAGGGUGGGCGGAGGAGGGGUAAGAGGGGAGGCGGCUCCUCGGUGGGGGCGAGGGGCGGGGGCGCAGCCGUGCCUCACCCAGCCCCGCCGCCGACUUCCGCCGCCGCCUCUGCCCCGACCAAAACACACUCACACACACACAACACGCACUUCCGCCGCCGCCACGUCACGCCCGCACGCGCCGUGCCCUUCCGGUUCGCCCGCGCCGGCCGUCACGUGACUCCCUUUCUUUCCCACCUUUUCCCCUCCUCCUUUUGUUCCCGCUCCCUCCCCUCCCUGCCGGCCGCUCCCACCGCGGCCGAGCCGCUGUCGGCUGCAGGGUGUUUGUUCCCUGCCUCCCGCUUCUCCCCUGCUCCCGGGGGAAGAGUCCCUGCGAGCGACCCGCGCGUCUUCCAGCUUCCAUUUACGGUGGGGGUGGUGAGGCUCUGGAAUGGGUUGCUCAGAGAAAUUCAGGAUGCCCCAUCCCUGACAGUGUUCACGGCCAUGCUGGGUGGGGCUCCGAGCAACCUGCUGUUGUAG